Molecule: ribosomal RNA, 314 nt
Filed under: Cytobacillus firmus
Lineage: Bacteria; Bacillati; Bacillota; Bacilli; Caryophanales; Bacillaceae
Description: partial 23S ribosomal RNA
Rfam family: Bacterial large subunit ribosomal RNA
Source: RNAcentral
UACGGUUAAGUUAGAAAGGGCGCACGGUGAAUGCCUUGGCACUAGGAGCCGAUGAAGGACGGUACUAACACCGAUAUGCUUCGGGGAGCUGUAAGUAAGCUUUGAUCCGGAGAUUUCCGAAUGGGGAAACCCCCUAUCCGUAAUGGGAUAGGAUCCUUAUCUGAAUACAUAGGGUAUGGAAGGCAGACCCGGGGAACUGAAACAUCUAAGUACCCGGAGGAAGAGAAAGCAAACGCGAUUCCCUGAGUAGCGGCGAGCGAAACGGGAUUAGCCCAAACCAGGAGGCUUGCCUCCUGGGGUUGUAGGACACUCUA